AUCGUAGUUAUAGUUCAGAGUUUUAAGUAGAAGGAGGAGGCAACUCCUGGAGGACUCGAGCAUCCAUCGCAAAUUGAUGGCUCUAUAAAUUUUAUUUUCAUAAAAGGUAUUGUUACAUCAUUGGUAAUAUAUACGGAGGUUCGUCGAGUUCCGUAGCCUGAAAAUUGAAAUCCCAUCAAGCUGCUCUAGCCUAUAAAUUUCUGGGCAUACCACUUCACCCACUCGAUAAGGACUUUCUCAGUUGGAUGAUAGCUCCCUCUGCUCGGUAGGCUGUGAGACUUCAGCUCGUCGUAGCACCAGAUCACCAGCUUGAAACUUUUUUGGCUUAACCCGGGAAUUGUAAUAUCUGGCCAUCCGUUGGUAGUAGGCAGCCAUUCUAACAGCAGCGCAUUUCGUACAGCGCAUUCCUUACUCUCCUCGAUUAGAUCAAGAUUGGCACGGAGCCACACCGAAUUGGUGUCCUCAUUAUAUUCCUCGACCUUGAGAGAGGAAAGUCCAAACUCCCCAGGAAUAACUGCCUCAGUCCCGAAAGCCAAGUUGAAGGGUGUUUCACCAGUUCGAAGCCUUUGAGUGGUCUAGGAUAGCUCGGUUCUUGACAAGCAUGUCAUCAACAUAUGACCCCAUGUUGCGGCU
Molecule: long non-coding RNA, 633 nt
Filed under: Elaeis guineensis (African oil palm)
Lineage: Eukaryota; Viridiplantae; Streptophyta; Magnoliopsida; Arecales; Arecaceae
Description: long non-coding RNA (EGUI_LNC030042)
Source: RNAcentral